UACAGAGGUCUCAAGCGUUGUUCGGAUUCAUUGGGCGUAAAGGGUGCGCAGGCGGCACGGUAAGUCGGGUGUGAAAUCUCGGAGCUUAACUCCGAAACUGCAUUCGAUACUGCCGUGCUUGAGGACUGGAGGGGAGACUGGAAUUUACGGUGUAGCGGUGAAAUGCGUAGAUAUCGUAAGGAAGACCAGUGGCGAAGGCGGGUCUCUGGACAGUUCCUGACGCUGAGGCACGAAGGUCAGGGGAGCAAACGGG
This 253-nucleotide ribosomal RNA is filed under the name uncultured bacterium. Its description in RNAcentral is "partial 16S ribosomal RNA". It matches the Rfam family "Bacterial small subunit ribosomal RNA", at positions 524 to 776 of the family's 1533-position model. The record is from RNAcentral.